RNAcentral lists this ribosomal RNA (253 nucleotides) under uncultured bacterium. RNAcentral's name for it is "partial 16S ribosomal RNA". It matches the Rfam family "Bacterial small subunit ribosomal RNA", at positions 524 to 776 of the family's 1533-position model. The record is from RNAcentral.
UACGUAGGGGGCUAGCGUUGUCCGGAUUUAUUGGGCGUAAAGAGCGUGUAGGCGGCCAGGUAGGUCAGCUGUGAAAACUCGAGGCUCAACCUCGAGACGUCGGCGGAAACCAUCUGGCUAGAGUCCGGAAGAGGAGAGUGGAAUUCCUGGUGUAGCGGUGAAAUGCGCAGAUAUCAGGAAGAACACCCGUGGCGAAGGCGGCUCUCUGGUACGUGACUGACGCUGAGACGCGAAAGCGUGGGGAGCGAACAGG